UNGCAGGGGCUGGGUUCUUAAGAUGGC
RNAcentral lists this non-coding RNA (27 nucleotides) under Mus musculus (house mouse). Lineage: Eukaryota; Metazoa; Chordata; Mammalia; Rodentia; Muridae. The record is from RNAcentral.